Molecule: ribosomal RNA, 497 nt
Filed under: uncultured bacterium
Lineage: Bacteria
Description: partial 16S ribosomal RNA
Rfam family: Bacterial small subunit ribosomal RNA
Source: RNAcentral
GAUGAACGCUGGCGGCGUGCCUAAUACAUGCAAGUCGAGCGAACAGAUGAGGAGCUUGCUCCUCUGACGUUAGCGGCGGACGGGCGAGUAACACGUGGAUAACCUACCUAUAAGACUGGGAUAACUUCGGGAAACCGGAGCUAAUACCGGAUAAUAUAUUGAACCGCAUGGUUCAAUAGUGAAAGACGGUUUUGCUGUCACUUAUAGAUGGAUCCGCGCCGCAUUAGCUAGUUGGUAAGGUAACGGCUUACCAAGGCAACGAUGCGUAGCCGACCUGAGAGGGUGAUCGGCCACACUGGAACUGAGACACGGUCCAGACUCCUACGGGAGGCAGCAGUAGGGAAUCUUCCGCAAAGGGCGAAAGCCUGACGGAGCAACGCCGCGUGAGUGAUGAAGGUCUUCGGAUCGUAAAACUCUGUUAUUAGGGAAGAACAAAUGUGUAAGUAACUAUGCACGUCUUGACGGUACCUAAUCAGAAAGCCACGGCUAACUACGUG